GCCAGGUACAGUGGCGCAUGCCUGUAAUCUCAGCUGCUUGGGAGGCUGAGGCAGGAGGAUCACAAAGCCAGCUUCAUCAACUUUGCGAGGCCCUAAGCAACUUUGUGAGACCCUGUUUCAA
This 121-nucleotide small RNA is filed under the name Marmota monax (woodchuck). The record is from RNAcentral. Lineage: Eukaryota; Metazoa; Chordata; Mammalia; Rodentia; Sciuridae.